UACAGAGGGGGCAAGCGUUGUUCGGAAUUACUGGGCGUAAAGGGCGCGUAGGCGGCCUGCUAAGUCGAACGUGAAAUCCCCGAGCUCAACUCGGGAACUGCGUCCGAUACUGGCAGGCUUGAAUCCGGAAGAGGUGAGUGGAAUUCCUGGUGUAGCGGUGAAAUGCGCAGAUAUCAGGAGGAACACCAAUGGCGAAGGCAGCUCACUGGGACGGUAUUGACGCUGAGACGCGAAAGCGUGGGGAGCAAACAGG
RNAcentral lists this ribosomal RNA (253 nucleotides) under uncultured bacterium. RNAcentral describes it as "partial 16S ribosomal RNA". It matches the Rfam family "Bacterial small subunit ribosomal RNA", at positions 524 to 776 of the family's 1533-position model. The record is from RNAcentral.